AGAGUUUGAUUAUGGCUCAGAACGAACGCUGGCGGCAUGGAUUAGGCAUGCAAGUCGAACGAAGCAGCAAUGCUUAGUGGCGCAAGGGUGAGGAACACGUGAGUGACCUACCCGCAAGUUUGGAACAGCUCCUGGAAACGGGAAUUAAUACCGGAUGUGAUCAUAUUACUGCAUGGUGAUAUGAUUAAAGCAGCAAUGCGCUUGCGGAUGGGCUCGCGUCCCAUUAGCUAGUUGGUGAGGUAACGGCCCACCAAGGCCAUGAUGGGUAGCUGGUCUGAGAGGACGACCAGCCACACUGGGACUGAGAACUGCCCAGACUCCUACGGGAGGCUGCAGUCGAGAAUUUUGGGCAAUGGACGAAAGUCCUGACCCAGCAAUGCCGCGUGCGGGAUGAAGGUCUUCGGAUUGUAAACCGCUGUUUGGAGGGACGAAAAUUGACGGUACUUCCAGAGGAAGCCACGGCUAACUACGUGCCAGCCGCCGC
RNAcentral lists this ribosomal RNA (484 nucleotides) under uncultured bacterium. RNAcentral's name for it is "bacterial SSU rRNA". It matches the Rfam family "Bacterial small subunit ribosomal RNA", at positions 8 to 518 of the family's 1533-position model. The record is from RNAcentral.